Molecule: ribosomal RNA, 240 nt
Filed under: uncultured Lactobacillus sp.
Lineage: Bacteria; Bacillati; Bacillota; Bacilli; Lactobacillales; Lactobacillaceae
Description: partial 16S ribosomal RNA
Rfam family: Bacterial small subunit ribosomal RNA
Source: RNAcentral
GGUUAGCCCAACGAGAUCGGGAUAACACCUGGAAACAGAUGCUAAUACCGGAUAACAACAGAUGAUGCCUAUCAACUGUUUAAAAGAUGGUUCUGCUAUCACUCUUGGAUGGACCUGCGGUGCAUUAGCUAGUUGGUAGGGUAACGGCCUACCAAGGCGAUGAUGCAUAGCCGAGUUGAGAGACUGAUCGGCCACAUUGGGACUGAGACACGGCCCAAACUCCUACGGGAGGCAGCAGGU